UGGGGAAUAUUGCACAAUGGGCGCAAGCCUGAUGCAGCAACGCCGCGUGAGGGAUGACGGCCUUCGGGUUGUAAACCUCUUUUAGCAGGGAAGAAGCGAAAGUACGGUACCUGCAGAAAAAGCGCCGGCUAACUACGUGCCAGCAGCCGCGGUAAUACGUAGGGCGCAAGCGUUAUCCGGAAUUAUUGGGCGUAAAGAGCUCGUAGGCGGUUUGUCGCGUCUGCUGUGAAAUCCCGAGGCUCAACCUCGGGUCUGCAGUGGGUACGGGCAGACUAGAGUGCGGUAGGGGAGAUUGGAAUUCCUGGUGUAGCGGUGGAAUGCGCAGAUAUCAGGAGGAACACCGAUGGCGAAGGCAGAUCUCUGGGCCGUAACUGACGCUGAGGAGCGAAAGGGUGGGGAGCAAACAGGCUUAGAUACCCUGGUAGUCCACCCGUAAACGUUGGGAACUAGUUGUGGGGNCCAUUCCACGGAUUCCGUGACGCAGCUAACGCAUUAAGUUCCCCGCCUA
This 508-nucleotide ribosomal RNA is filed under the name uncultured bacterium. RNAcentral describes it as "partial 16S ribosomal RNA". It matches the Rfam family "Bacterial small subunit ribosomal RNA", at positions 355 to 875 of the family's 1533-position model. The record is from RNAcentral.